This 234-nucleotide ribosomal RNA is filed under the name uncultured Smithella sp. RNAcentral's name for it is "partial 16S ribosomal RNA". It matches the Rfam family "Bacterial small subunit ribosomal RNA", at positions 1147 to 1382 of the family's 1533-position model. The record is from RNAcentral. Lineage: Bacteria; Pseudomonadati; Thermodesulfobacteriota; Syntrophia; Syntrophales; Smithellaceae.
GACUGCCGGUGUUAAACCGGAGGAAGGUGGGAUGACGUCAAGUCCUCAUGGCCUUUAUGCUUAGGGCUACACACGUGCUACAAUGGGUGGUACAAAGAGAAGCCAACUCGCGAGAGCGCGCCAAUCUCAAAAGCCAUCCUCAGUUCGGAUUGGAGUCUGCAACUCGACUCCAUGAAGUUGGAAUCGCUAGUAAUCGCGGAUCAGCAUGCCGCGGUGAAUACGUUCCCGGGCCUU